This 444-nucleotide long non-coding RNA is filed under the name Mytilus galloprovincialis (Mediterranean mussel). Lineage: Eukaryota; Metazoa; Mollusca; Bivalvia; Mytilida; Mytilidae. The record is from RNAcentral.
GACAAAUUAUACCUUAGCAUUUAUUAACAAAAAUAUCAAAGUAGAAAAUUAUUCACAGAUUUACUGAUACAAAUUUAUUUCAGUCAAAAGCUAAAUAUAAUCAGAUGAAAAAUAGGAGGUCACAUUUUACAAAUCUUUAUGCUAGAGUUAAUCUAUUCAUCUGGAUGAAGCCAACAACUAUGAAAUGAUUUUACAAUGAGAGUGACAAACAGGACAUUCCUACAGGCUACUAACGGUGAAACAUGUAUCCAAGCUAUCAACUGACCUGUAUAGUUUACAUGUCUGUAUGCAUGUUCACAUUGUACAACCAUUUUUGUACACUGUCAUGACUGUAUAACAAUUUUAGAUGUACAUAACACUUUGUAAGAUGUUACACAUACAACAAAUCUAGCUGUUAGAAAUGAACUAGGAAGUUCUGCCAUUAGAAACUUUCAUAAAAACCCA